This 544-nucleotide ribosomal RNA is filed under the name uncultured bacterium. Its description in RNAcentral is "partial 16S ribosomal RNA". It matches the Rfam family "Bacterial small subunit ribosomal RNA", at positions 355 to 892 of the family's 1533-position model. The record is from RNAcentral.
UGGGGAAUUUUGGACAAUGGGGGGAAACCCUGAUCCAGCCAUCCCGCGUGUGCGAUGAAGGCCUUCGGGUUGUAAGCACUUUUGGCAGGAAAGAAACGUCGCGGGUUAAUACCCCGCGAAACUGACGGUACCUGCAGAAUAAGCACCGGCUAACUACGUGCCAGCAGCCGCGGUAAUACGUAGGGUGCAAGCGUUAAUCGGAAUUACUGGGCGUAAAGCGUGCGCAGGCGGUUCGGAAAGAAAGAUGUGAAAUCCCAGAGCUUAACUUUGGAACUGCAUUUUUAACUACCGGGCUAGAGUGUGUCAGAGGGAGGUGGAAUUCCGCGUGUAGCAGUGAAAUGCGUAGAUAUGCGGAGGAACACCGAUGGCGAAGGCAGCCUCCUGGGAUAACACUGACGCUCAUGCACGAAAGCGUGGGGAGCAAACAGGAUUAGAUACCCUGGUAGUCCACGCCCUAAACGAUGUCAACUAGCUGUUGGGGCCUUCGGGCCUUGGUAGCGCAGCUAACGCGUGAAGUUGACCGCCUGGGGAGUACGGUCGCAAG